AUUGAACGCUGGCGGCAUGCCUUACACAUGCAAGUCGAACGGCAGCGCGGACUUCGGUCUGGCGGCGAGUGGCGAACGGGUGAGUAAUACAUCGGAACGUACCCUGUUGUGGGGGAUAACUAGUCGAAAGAUUAGCUAAUACCGCAUACGACCUGAGGGUGAAAGCGGGGGACCGAAAGGCCUCGCGCAGCAGGAGCGGCCGAUGUCUGAUUAGCUAGUUGGUGGGGUAAAGGCCCACCAAGGCGACGAUCAGUAGCUGGUCUGAGAGGACGAUCAG
RNAcentral lists this ribosomal RNA (277 nucleotides) under uncultured bacterium. RNAcentral's name for it is "partial 16S ribosomal RNA". It matches the Rfam family "Bacterial small subunit ribosomal RNA", at positions 30 to 307 of the family's 1533-position model. The record is from RNAcentral.